UGAGCGCGAUACAGCACUGCUAGACACUUAGAAAUGAUGGAGCUGGUUCAUUUGUUUUUUACCUGGAUAAAAAAAUAUCCUGAAUGAUUUUGGUAACAUACGGGUAAUGGUGCCUGAUUCAAAGCACUGGUCCAGGAAGGCAUGGAGACCAAGGAGGGUGGGAGACCUGGGGGGUGGACCCACGUGCACGGUCCGUGUGGCCAACCAAAGAGACAGGGCAAUUCAGGGCAGAGAAGACCGGCUGUCUCCGCAACAGAGGUGCCGGGACUGGACCCCACGUGGGAAAAGGACAAACCUCAACCUGUGCCUCAUACAAUCUGCACAGAUUCCCUUGAAAUGGACCACAGACCUAAACAUAAAAGCUGAAACUGUAAAAAUCCUCGACGUAAACAUAGGAGAAAAUCUUCACAACCUUGAAAUAGGCAAAGAUUUCUUGCAGGUAUACAGAAUGCACUAACUGUAAAAGAGGAAUCAGUAAAUUAGUCUUUAUCAAAACUAAAACUUUCGCCGUUUGAAAGAUAAUUUAAGGACUUUCCAUACACAAGAUGAUUUCAUCUGCAAAUUGAGUUUACUUAUUCCUUUCCAAUUUGAAUGCCUGCUAUUUAUUUUUCUUGCCCAACUGCCCCAAUUGGAACCUCCAGGACAAUGCUGAAUGGAAAUGAAUCCGGCAAACACCCUCAUCGAGACCCGUAUGAAACAUCUGUACUGUCAUCCAGCUCCACAGCAGCCCUCCCACACCGCGCAAUUUGCUUUGGUAUGUGUUUCUUCAAACCUUCUCCAGUGUUUGCUGUGGGUUUUCUCACAGUAUUUGCUGACAAAGAGAUGCACCUUAGUUUGUUCUCAUAAUGUUUUCAGCCAUUUUUACCAGCACAGGAAGGAAGUAUUUCCCCAAUGGCAGGAGGCCUUUUAUCUUUCACAAGUAAGAAACCUCAGAAGAGGUUUCUAAAUAUUUAUCACAAAGCUAACAACAUCCUGUAAAGUGUUGGACUGAGCCCUGAAUGGCAGCAGACACCCCUGCCUGGCCUGGAGAGCUGUGCCUCGUGUUCCGGCGUGUGGCACGGGAGUCUCACGAAUCACAGUGGCUCCACGCUCUCCUGGGCUGGCCUCCCCGGGCACAGCACACACCUGAGGGAGGCUCAUGAAGGGCAGGAGUGCUUCAAACCCCCUCUUUCAAAUAGGCUUCUUGAAAAGUGACAUGUUGCUGGCCCACCUCUAGGGGGAUGUGAUGAGAUGGACUUUUCACUCCGUGAAGUGCUGACAAAGCUGGAGGCGGGAAGGGCACCGUCGGCACCUCCAUAUUCUCCCUCCUGGGCACCCUCUACCGCUGCCACCGCGGCGCCUCUACUGGCGCCCACUGCUGGUGCGCUGCAGUCCGCCUAUCGCUUUACUCCUCCUGGCAUUUUCCCAGGACAUGUUCUACUGGUUAUUGCUGGGAUGCAGAAAAGUGACGGACUUCUGUCUGUUUUUCAUGUACCCAGUUACUGUGUUGACCUUUCUAAUUAACUGCAGUCAUUUUCUGGUUAGUUUGCUUGUGUUUCUGGGUACAUAAACAUAUUCUGUCUCA
Molecule: non-coding RNA, 1564 nt
Organism: Delphinapterus leucas (beluga whale)
Lineage: Eukaryota; Metazoa; Chordata; Mammalia; Artiodactyla; Monodontidae
Source: RefSeq, a predicted model, not a curated record